CUCCGACCCCGACCGCUCGCCCUCUCGUCGGCCAGUCGCUCGCCAGCCAGUCGCCACCCUCUCCCUCUCGUUGGUGUCUUCCUCACCGCAGUCUUGCUCCUCACCACCCAUAACCCUAGCAACCCGCCUCCCUCUCGUCGGUGAAAGGUGUUAUUUUUACCAGCUGGGGUGCUCGAUUCGUGGCGGCGGUGCUCGAUCCGUGCUGGAGCAGCGGGAGGAGGAGGCCAAGGUGGAGAUCGUGGUGCGGGAGGGGGAGCUCGGCGAGACGGCGGCUGGAUCUGAAGCGCGGCUGCUCCACCUUCCUCAGGGUGGCGGGGAUCUCCGGCUCGCUGCAGAGAAGAAGGGCCCGACCGCUGGCGUCAUCCGCCGCUUCCUCAGGGUUGGCGGCGGCGGGCUGCGGUUCCGGCGGAAGGGCGACACGUUCAAGGUGCUGCAGGUGGCGGACAUGCACUAUGAGGACGGGCGGAGCACCGCGUGCGAGGACGUGCUGCCCGAGCAGGUCGCCGGCUGCUCCGACCUCAACACCACCGCCUUCCUCUACCGCGUCAUCCGCGCCGAGAACCCCGACCUCGUCGUCUUCACAGUUCACUACUCGAGGUGCUGGGCCGUGGCUUCGUCGAGGCGGACGACAGCCACUCCCGUGCAAACAAAGGUGAGCAUUCAGGAAAAGAACAUACAAGUGCUCUUUCUUUAGUAAACUCUCAAUUGCACUGUCUAGCAGAAUCUUUUUUGGAUACAAGCAUACAGGAAAAGGAUGAGCAUACAGGAAAAGGAUGAUCAUCCUUUUCUGCUGGAAUAUCAACUUUUUUGGAUGCUCAACCAUCAAUAAACAUCUUGGCUGAACUUCGGGAAAAGGAUGCACCGAAUCUUAGUUUUACUAGUGCGAGUGAUCUUGACUUCCUUGCAGAGAGGACUAGAGAUAUGGGGUACUUGAGUGGUUCAUCUGCACUCCAGAUAACUUUCAGUUUUUUUGUUCAAAAUUGAGCACCGCCUUGCCAAACAGCAUUCCGCCACUAAAUGGCAGCAUAUACAGGACCAACUAACAAUUUUUGACAGGUGAACAGAUGGACAGUGGAUGCUCCUUGCUGAUCAAUUCAAAAUUGCUCUGGCGAUCAAUUCAAGCUUGUUGUGACUGGCGAGAAGACGUCCUGGUCAAUCACCACAUCUGAUCAAUUUCUGUCUGUGGCGAGAAGAAGUGGUACAACUCCAGCGAUCAAUUUCUUUGGCGAUUAACAAUUUUGAUCAAUUCAAACAGCAGCACAGGCGGCGCAUGAGCAGGGAGGAGCACAUGCUGCUGCUGUUGGUCAGUGCGGGGAGGAGCACGGGCAGAGGUCAAUUGGCCGGAUCCGGAGCUCCAGUGCCUGAAUCGAGGAGCUGGAAGGCUGAGGCAGGAGGAGGAGGAGCACAGGCUGCGCUGCUGCUGCUGUUGGUCAGUGUGGGGAGGAGCAUGGACGGAGGUCAAUUGGCUGGAUCCGGAGCUCCUAUGCCUGAAUCGAGGAACUGGAAGGCUCAGGCAGGAGGAGGAGGAGCACGGGCGGCGCUACUACUGGUCGGUGCAGGGAGGAGCACGGGCGGUGCGAAGGCCAGGAGUCAUGGGCGGCACGACGGCCAGGAGUCAUGGGCAGCUGGAGGCUGUGGCGGACGGCGAGGGAGCUGUGUACGAGUUUGGGCUCUCGAUUGGAGCGGAGGAAGGCGGCCGGCGAGGGAGCUACGGCCGGCGCGGACGGACGCUGGAGCUGCAGCAGUGGGGUGGAGCCUGGCGGAGGGGAGGAGCGAUGGAGGAAGACGAAGAUCCCCGGCGACAAGAAAUUCAAAUUUAGGGUAGUUUGGUACUUUUUCCUGUUUUCACCUGGUCGGAGAAGUUCCCCAACGACAACUAUUUCGGAACAGAGGGAGCAGUACCAUAGGAAACUUUCCAAUUCCUAUGUUUUUCAUUCACUUUUCCUUUCAAGCACUAGUGAUUCUAGUAGGCCGGCUUGAGCAAGGAAAAGCCUACACUAAAAAAAUGUUUUGUGCUACUUCUAUUACUUUGGACCCAGGCCACUGCCCUACUAGCUCAACUCCCAGGGCCAUCGACAAAUGCACAGCUCAAACGCGCAGAGAUUAAUAAUGAUGGCAUUCAAGAGAGUCCAUCACGGAUAACUAAGGUGCCUGGUACCUCACUGCUUGUCAUAUAGUAGGAUAAAAUAAUCGUAUUUCCCGUUACUAUGUGUGCUCAGUGGACAAUAUAUAUAACUUGUAGAGUAAAAAAGAG
RNAcentral lists this ribosomal RNA (2254 nucleotides) under Triticum aestivum (bread wheat). Its description in RNAcentral is "partial small subunit ribosomal RNA". Lineage: Eukaryota; Viridiplantae; Streptophyta; Magnoliopsida; Poales; Poaceae. The record is from RNAcentral.